CAAUUUUCUUUAUUUUAUGUUUUUCAAAUUAAGGAACACAUGCUGGCUAUAUGAAGGAAAAACUAAUUAUGUUCCUGCCAUUCUCUAAGCCACUGUCCCCUGCCAAGAUAACCAACAUUGCCAGCCUGGUACAUACUGUUGCUUGCAGUUCUCCAUGUGAAAUAACAGGUGCAUUGUGUGAAUUGCUGUUUGAAGGGCCCUCUUUUGAUGAAAUCCCAGGUGCUGGAGUGUUUUUGCAGAGAUGUCUUCUAGGAGUUAAAGUCCAGAUGGAGGAGGCCUUAAAUCUUGUCAUUUUGCAACACAUGUCUCAAGUCACAGACCUAGCUUGUUAGGACUCCAUGGGGCCAACCUGGGGCAAGAAUAGUUUUCUUCGGUUGUCUUUCAUCCACUCUAGAAUUCGCUAAAGGGCAGAAUAAAGCCUCUUUCUAUCUUAGUGUGAGUGACACUAGCUGCCAUGACAAAUAAAUCCAAAUAUUUAAUGCAUAGUAAAAGUCUGUUUCUCUUCUACUCCCCACCCCUGCUCCUCUCCAUUCCUCC
Molecule: long non-coding RNA, 537 nt
Filed under: Fukomys damarensis (Damara mole-rat)
Lineage: Eukaryota; Metazoa; Chordata; Mammalia; Rodentia; Bathyergidae
Description: lncRNA (ENSFDAG00000030187.1)
Source: RNAcentral